Molecule: ribosomal RNA, 301 nt
Filed under: uncultured bacterium
Lineage: Bacteria
Description: partial 16S ribosomal RNA
Rfam family: Bacterial small subunit ribosomal RNA
Source: RNAcentral
CAGCCGCCGCGGUAAUACGUAGGUGGCAAGCGUUGUCCGGAAUUAUUGGGCGUAAAGCGCGCGCAGGCGGAUAGGUCAGUCUGUCUUAAAAGUUCGGGGCUUAACCCCGUGAUGAGAUGGAAACUGCCAAUCUAGAGUAUCGGAGAGGAAAGUGGAAUUCCUAGUGUAGCGGUGAAAUGCGUAGAUAUUAGGAAGAACACCAGUGGCGAAGGCGACUUUCUGGACGAAAACUGACGCUGAGGCGCGAAAGCCAGGGGAGCGAACGGGAUUAGAGACCCCCGUAGUCCCUGUCUCUUAUACA